GGUUAAUUAGCUCAGUUGGUUAGAGCGUUUCACUCAUAACGAAAAGGUCGGUGGUUCAAUUCCACCAUUAACCACCA
This 77-nucleotide transfer RNA is filed under the name Sulfurihydrogenibium sp. RNAcentral describes it as "tRNA-Met". It matches the Rfam family "tRNA". From Rfam's summary of the family: Transfer RNA (tRNA) molecules are approximately 80 nucleotides in length. Their secondary structure includes four short double-helical elements and three loops (D, anti-codon, and T loops). Further hydrogen bonds mediate the characteristic L-shaped molecular structure. tRNAs have two regions of fundamental functional importance: the anti-codon, which is responsible for specific mRNA codon recognition, and the 3' end, to which the tRNAs corresponding amino acid is attached (by aminoacyl-tRNA synthetases). tRNAs cope with the degeneracy of the genetic code in two manners: having more than one tRNA (with a specific anti-codon) for a particular amino acid; and 'wobble' base-pairing, i.e. permitting non-standard base-pairing at the 3rd anti-codon position. The record is from RNAcentral. Lineage: Bacteria; Pseudomonadati; Aquificota; Aquificia; Aquificales; Hydrogenothermaceae.